This 739-nucleotide long non-coding RNA is filed under the name Cricetulus griseus (Chinese hamster). RNAcentral's name for it is "lncRNA (ENSCGRG00015042435.1)". Lineage: Eukaryota; Metazoa; Chordata; Mammalia; Rodentia; Cricetidae. The record is from RNAcentral.
GGAAAGGAAGGAGAUGCUGGGCUGACUGGGCCCCACAGCUCUGGGCUCUUCCAGAUGAAACUGAGUUAUAGCAGUUAAACUGUAGAAUUGAUAAAUACUGACAUUCUUUUUCUUAUGGCCUCAAAUAACACCGGUGUUCUGGCAGCCUCUUCAUGAGCACAGAGCAGAGGUAGUGCUCCUUUGUGUUCUAGCAGAGAUGGGGCAGGUGGGCCCCUCAGGGGAGGGAGGGGGGCAGGCCUGACAGUGAAUGGCAGUCAAAACAUCCCUUUCAAGAGAGCCAGUUUCUAAAGUUCCUAUGUGUCUUUUCUCAGAACACACACACACACACACACACACACACACACACACACACACACACACACACACACACACGAAAAACAAAAGGAACUAAAUUGCUGUCAAAAUCCCUUCCAAACUCCCAGAAAUGAAAUCUGCAUUACCUCUAAGUGAAGAUCGUCGUAUAGAACGCAAGCUUCCAUGGAAACUUCAGGAACAUAAAAGGAAAUGUUCUGACGGUAAUUUCAGAGGGCAAGAUGGGAGAGAAGACUUAGCCAACCGGCUGGGAGCAUGCAACACUGCCACAGAACAAGAGAGAUCCCACCUCAACAAGAUAGAAGACAAGAACUGACUUCUGAAAGGGAUGAGUGCUGUGUACGCAUGGGUGGUGGUUGUUGUUGCUGUUUCCUAAGUAAGAAGAAGGCCACAGAAGAGAGUAACACAACUUCCCAGGAACAUGAAG